This 288-nucleotide unclassified non-coding RNA is filed under the name Hevea brasiliensis (rubber tree). The record is from RNAcentral. Lineage: Eukaryota; Viridiplantae; Streptophyta; Magnoliopsida; Malpighiales; Euphorbiaceae.
GUUCUUGAUUGGGUGGUGAUUUUGGGGGAUAUUUGAUUUGAAGGGAGUUUUUAGUUAGUGGAUUUGAUAUAAAGAUUAAAUUUUUUCUUUUGUUAGAUUUUGGAAUUUUUUUGCUGAUUUGGGGAGUGCUGGAAAAUGAGUGUGAGUAUGGAGGAGGAUGGUUCAGGUUCAAAAAUACAUCUACCUGCUGAUGUAAAUUGGGAGAUGCUUGACAAAUCUAAGUUUUUUUUCUUGGGAGCUGCGCUUUUUCUGGUGUUUCAGGUGCACUUUAUCCAAUUGUAGUGUUGA